AGUGGGGAAUAUUGCACAAUGGGCGCAAGCCUGAUGCAGCCAUGCCGCGUGUGUGAAGAAGGCCUUCGGGUUGUAAAGCACUUUCAGUCAGGAGGAAAGGUUAGUAGUUAAUACCUGCUAGCUGUGACGUUACUGACAGAAGAAGCACCGGCUAACUCCGUGCCAGCAGCCGCGGUAAUACGGAGGGUGCGAGCGUUAAUCGGAAUUACUGGGCGUAAAGCGUACGCAGGCGGUUUGUUAAGCGAGAUGUGAAAGCCCCGGGCUCAACCUGGGAACUGCAUUUCGAACUGGCAAACUAGAGUGUGAUAGAGGGUGGUAGAAUUUCAGGUGUAGCGGUGAAAUGCGUAGAGAUCUGAAGGAAUACCGAUGGCGAAGGCAGCCACCUGGGUCAACACUGACGCUCAUGUACGAAAGCGUGGGGAGCAAA
Molecule: ribosomal RNA, 427 nt
Filed under: uncultured Pseudoalteromonas sp.
Lineage: Bacteria; Pseudomonadati; Pseudomonadota; Gammaproteobacteria; Alteromonadales; Pseudoalteromonadaceae
Description: bacterial SSU rRNA
Rfam family: Bacterial small subunit ribosomal RNA
Source: RNAcentral